RNAcentral lists this ribosomal RNA (484 nucleotides) under uncultured organism. Its description in RNAcentral is "bacterial SSU rRNA". It matches the Rfam family "Bacterial small subunit ribosomal RNA", at positions 30 to 507 of the family's 1533-position model. The record is from RNAcentral.
AUUGAACGCUGGCGGCAUGCCUUACACAUGCAAGUCGAACGGCAGCACGGGAGCAAUCCUGGUGGCGAGUGGCGAACGGGUGAGUAAUACAUCGGAACGUGCCCAGUUGUGGGGGAUAGCCCGGCGAAAGCCGGAUUAAUACCGCAUACGACCUACGGGUGAAAGCGGGGGAUCGCAAGACCUCGCGCUAUUGGAGCGGCCGAUGUCGGAUUAGCUAGUUGGUGGGGUAAAAGCCUACCAAGGCUACGAUCCGUAGCUGGUCUGAGAGGACGACCAGCCACACUGGGACUGAGACACGGCCCAGACUCCUACGGGAGGCAGCAGUGGGGAAUUUUGGACAAUGGGCGCAAGCCUGAUCCAGCCAUGCCGCGUGCGGGAAGAAGGCCUUCGGGUUGUAAACCGCUUUUGUCAGGGAAGAAACGGUUUGGGCUAAUACCCCGAACUAAUGACGGUACCUGAAGAAUAAGCACCGGCUAACUACGUG